UAAGGCUUAGGUCAAGGGCUAUGAAAGAAAGGAUAGGAAAUACUCAAGCUUGGGACAUACCAAAGUGUCUUCCUUGUGAAAGCAGCAAGCUCUCCUCUUGAAUUGAUCUUUGUUGUUUGUUCGUGGCAUCCUGGACCCGUGCGAUAAUGGAAGGAUUUAGAAAUUACAUCCUCUUUGAUUCUUUUUCUUUUCUUUUAUUUUUCUAAAACUUUGUUUCUUUUUUCUUUCUCUUUUCUACAAAUCCAGCACACAUACCUCGAUACACACCACUUUCUUGAUGUAGAGCUCGAAUUAUCUUUGUCUUCAUCACUUUGGUAUUCCCCAAACUAUAGGGUAUAGCUGUAAUGGGGUAAAUAUCUCAUAUUGAGAUAAAAGGAUAUGGGGAAAAAAAAUGUGAG
Molecule: long non-coding RNA, 398 nt
Filed under: Prunus persica (peach)
Lineage: Eukaryota; Viridiplantae; Streptophyta; Magnoliopsida; Rosales; Rosaceae
Description: long non-coding RNA (PPER_LNC004565)
Source: RNAcentral